UACGUAGGGUGCGAGCGUUAAUCGGAAUUACUGGGCGUAAAGCGUGCGCAGGCGGUAAUGUAAGACAGAUGUGAAAUCCCCGGGCUUAACCUGGGACCUGCAUUUGUGACUGCAUUGCUGGAGUGCGGCAGAGGGGGAUGGAAUUCCGCGUGUAGCAGCGAAAUGCGUAGAUAUGCGGAGGAACACCGAUGGCGAAGGCAAUCCCCUGGGCCUGCACUGACGCUCAUGCACGAAAGCGUGGGGAGCAAACAGG
RNAcentral lists this ribosomal RNA (253 nucleotides) under uncultured bacterium. Its description in RNAcentral is "partial 16S ribosomal RNA". It matches the Rfam family "Bacterial small subunit ribosomal RNA", at positions 524 to 776 of the family's 1533-position model. The record is from RNAcentral.